Anoplophora glabripennis (Asian longhorned beetle) is the source of this 1489-nucleotide RNA transcript. It is a transcript of the gene named isocitrate dehydrogenase [NAD] subunit gamma, mitochondrial, with no coding region annotated. NCBI's taxonomy places the organism in Eukaryota, Metazoa, Arthropoda, Insecta, Coleoptera, Cerambycidae. The transcript is spliced from 8 exons. The record is from RefSeq and is a predicted model, not a curated record.
UAACCGAGAUCCGGUUAAACGAAAAGGACGUAAAAAAUUGUCCGUGUGAUAUAACCAGUCUAUUUAAUUUUAUUUUGUAGGAGUGUUUAAAAAUACGUAGAUCUGAAAUACAGAAUGGCAUCCAGAAUAUUAUCAAAGCGCCCAUUUUCCUUGGGUUUUACGAUUUUAAGAUGUCAGUCCACAAUGUCGGCCUUCGAAUUGCAACACAAAACACCACUCAUUAAGAAAACUACUCCGAUCCCUAUCGCUCUAUAUGGAGGUCGAAAUGCAGUUACAAUGUUACCCGGUGGUGGUAUAGGCCCAGAACUCAUGGGCUACGUCAGGGAAGUGUUUAAGUAUGCAGGGGCUCCUGUUGACUUUGAAUUAAUUGAUAUUGACCCCAAAGCGGAUGAUAAUGUCGAUCUAGAAUAUGCUAUUACAUCGAUAAAACGUAAUGGUGUAGCUAUUAAAGGUAACAUUGAAACUAAAAGUGAGAGUGCGGCAGUGCUAUCUAGAAACGUGGCCAUCAGGAAUGAACUUGAUUUGUAUGUAAAUAUUUUGCACUGCAAGUCUUAUCCCGGAGUACCUGCUAGACAAAGCAAUAUUGAUAUAGUUAUCAUAAGGCAAAAUACAGAGGGGGAAUAUGCUAUGUUGGAACAUGAAAGUGUUGAUGGUGUAAUAGAAAGUAUGAAAGUUGUGACAGAAUCAAAUUCUGAUCGAGUGGCAAGAUUUGCAUUUGACUAUGCAAAACGUACCGGAAGGAAACGUAUUACAACUAUACAUAAGGCAAAUAUAAUGAAACUUUCCGACGGUCUUUUCUUGGAAACGUCAAGAAGGAUAGCUGAAGAUUACCCCGAAAUAGAACAUAAUGAUAUGAUUAUUGAUAACUGUUGCAUGCAGCUCGUGUCAAAACCCCACCAAUUUGACGUCAUGAUUAUGACGAAUCUGUACGGCAGUAUUGUGUCAAAUGUCGUCUGUGGUCUGAUAGGUGGUGCUGGAUUGCUUUCAGGCAAAAACUAUGGAGAUCAUUAUGCCAUAUUUGAACCCGGUACUCGCAAUACUGGAACUGCUAUCGCUGGGAAAAAUAUUGCGAAUCCAAUUGCGAUGUUGAACGCAGGAGUGGACAUGCUGGAGCAUUUGGGGCAUCAAAAACAUGCUACCUUGAUCCGAUGGGCUAUUGAGAAAACUCUUUGCGAAGAUAAAAUACAUACUCCAGAUUUGGGAGGUACGGCAAAGAGUACAGAUGUCGUGCAAAGAAUUAUCGAUCACAUCUUGCAAGCUGAUACAAGGCCAUGGUAAUAUUCAGUUGAUGUAGUGGUGGUGGUGGUUUUUUUUAAAUCUAAUUCUCUAAUGUGUGUCCGAAUGCUGUCUGAUGUUUGUUCUGGAUCCUAAUUCAUAUUAACUGAGAGGCACACAGGAAAGUAUUAAAAAAGUGUCUUACGAAGCUGUAUUUAUUUAACUUAUUUUUCAAACUGUAAUUUAAUGUGAUUAAUAAAACAUGUUUUUAGAA